RNAcentral lists this long non-coding RNA (256 nucleotides) under Elaeis guineensis (African oil palm). RNAcentral describes it as "long non-coding RNA (EGUI_LNC050382)". Lineage: Eukaryota; Viridiplantae; Streptophyta; Magnoliopsida; Arecales; Arecaceae. The record is from RNAcentral.
UUCCUCCAUUGCGGCCAAUCAUCAACGGAAAAUAAGGUAAACCCAAAAUCCAUUGAUUGAUCCUCCUCUCCUUUCUCUUUAGCAAAUGAAUCAUACUUUUAGGUUGAUUAUUGUCGGAUUUUCCUUCAAAAACUAAGCCUUUGAUUUCUCUUAUUUUUUCAUGAUUUUUAUGGUUUUCGUCGGUGCCAUUCAAUGCCGCUGACUAUCGGAUUAGAAUCUUGAGUUGCACCACCAUAGCCCGCAUCCUCGGCCACCA